CCUACGGGCGGCAGCAGUGGGGAAUAUUGCACAAUGGAGGGAACUCUGAUGCAGCGACGCCGCGUGAGUGAAGAAGUAAUUCGUUAUGUAAAGCUCUAUCAGCAGGGAAGAAAGUGACGGUACCUGACAAAGAAGCUCCUGCUACAUACGUGCCAGCAGCCUCGGUAAUACGUAUGGGGCACGCUUUAUCCGGAUUUACUGGGGGUAAAGGGAGAGGAGGUGGCAGAGCAAGUCCGAAGUGAAAAACAAAAGCUCAACUAUGGUAAUGCUUUAGAAACUGCUCAGCUAGAGUGCAGGAGAGGCAAGUGGAAUGCUUAGUGUAGCGGUGAAAUGCGUAGAUAUUAGGAGGAACACCAGUGGCGAAGGCGGCUUGCUGGACUGUAACUGACGCUGAGGCUCGAAAGCGUGGGGAGCAAACAGGAUUAGAUACCCCUGUAGUC
This 440-nucleotide ribosomal RNA is filed under the name uncultured bacterium. RNAcentral describes it as "partial 16S ribosomal RNA". It matches the Rfam family "Bacterial small subunit ribosomal RNA", at positions 338 to 795 of the family's 1533-position model. The record is from RNAcentral.